UUCAUCCCUCCUGGUUCAAGAUGAGUAGGAACCUAAUAAGGCUGUGAUAAAAGGGCAAAAGGCACCGAGUACCCAAAGGGGAUUAAUGGGCUCUUCCAUUUAUUUGUCUUCCUAACAGCUGAACUGUUACAAGUAUUGACGGUCUUCAAACGCGGGGCGCCCGUGGUCUCCAAUGGCCAACUCCAGCUCCAGGCCCCGAGGGGCGAGGGCUUCCCCCUGGGCGAUGCCAAAACCAACAAAGCCCCGGGGAUCAGGUCUAGGCAGCAGGAGCCUGACUAAUUAUUAGGACCCGUUUUGCAAGAGAACAAAUAGAGUCACACUGGCCGUUUCUGCGAGGUCAAAGAUGAAGAAAGCUGUUUUCAUCCUAGGAAAACAAGGAAAACUUCCAUGUGCUCAUGUGCCUCACCCAGGCUUAGUUAUGCCCUGUGCCACUACUGAGAACCACACAGGGUGGAUGUGGCUUUUGCUGGUUACCACCAGGGAGCCAACACACAGAAACUCAUCUCCAGUGGAUGCCUCCUCAAAAUGAGCAGUGAGAGCCAUCAGCAGCCCCACAAACAGAUUGUUUAAGCUGAAAACCUCCGCCGUGAUG
Molecule: long non-coding RNA, 592 nt
Organism: Vidua macroura (Pin-tailed whydah)
Lineage: Eukaryota; Metazoa; Chordata; Aves; Passeriformes; Viduidae
Exons: 5
Source: RefSeq, a predicted model, not a curated record